RNAcentral lists this long non-coding RNA (1097 nucleotides) under Malus domestica (apple). Its description in RNAcentral is "long non-coding RNA (MDOM_LNC008011)". Lineage: Eukaryota; Viridiplantae; Streptophyta; Magnoliopsida; Rosales; Rosaceae. The record is from RNAcentral.
UUUCAUAUAUCGAGCGGAAAAGAAUCGAAGAUGCAUUGUUUAUCCUAGUUAAGUCAAACGUACGUACAUGCGUACGUACUACUACUCUGUCCAUACAGCUAACAAAAAUCCGCGUCCUCGCUCGUAGAUAUGCACCACUUCCAUAAUGUAUACUGUCGUGUAGUAGCACCUCCCAGCACUAUAAAUUGACAAUGGUGAUCGUCGAAGUCUUGGCAUUCACAUCCUUCUAGUCUUUCUUGUGGGAUUUUUGAGUAGCAUAAGAGUUGGAGAAUCAUGAAAAUUUUCAGGAUUUUGAUUCUGCUGGGCCUCCUGUUUGGCUCUGUUGUUCUGGUCUCCUCCGCUGUUGAAGCUGAGACAACCAAAGAUGAGAAGAAAGCUUCAACAAAAGAUGAGAAGAAAGGUUAAUUUAUGGACUUCUGUAUGUUAGUUAAUAUUGGUUUACAUAUUCUGUAUGAAAAAUUUCAAGAUUGAGAUUUUGAAAGGCCUCCGGUAUGCUAGUUUAUACUUUACACAAUACACGUACCUAUGCACCCAUUACAUUUGCACGAUCGAUCCAAAGCACAUAUAUGCACCCAAUUAUUAUGGAACAAAGAAAAUGUGUACAAGAAUUUGAUAUGUCUUCAGUAAGUUCAUAAUAGUGUCGUAGUUCGAAAUUACACAUUCAUAGCUAGGGUUUUUUGUAUUCAUACUGCUCCGAUAUAUGUACUCGAUACUUGCUAAGGUCUACCAAGGGCUAAGAGAGAGAUAUAUAUGUUUGUAUAUGGUGCAGUGGAUGAGCCAAAGGAAGUUAACCAAGGUGGAGGUGGCAGAUAUUGUGGCCGGUGUUGCUAUCACUAUGGCCGUUACACUUGCGGCGGACAGUGUUGUUGGCCUGAAGAAUCAGAAGCGGUUGAGAAUGAGCCAAAGCAAGUUAACCAAGGUGGAGGUGGCAGAUAUUGUGGCCGGUGUUGCUAUCGCUAUGGCAGCUACACUUGCGGCGGACAGUGUUGUUGGCCUGCUGAGCAGUCCGAAGUAGUAGUUACCGAGGACAAUUUUGAAACAAAGCAGCCUGAUGGAUAUGGCGGCUGGGGAGGAGGGGGGACGGGUGUGCGGCGGCG